This 72-nucleotide transfer RNA is filed under the name Diaphorina citri (Asian citrus psyllid). It matches the Rfam family "tRNA". From Rfam's summary of the family: Transfer RNA (tRNA) molecules are approximately 80 nucleotides in length. Lineage: Eukaryota; Metazoa; Arthropoda; Insecta; Hemiptera; Psyllidae. The record is from Rfam by way of RNAcentral.
GCCUUGGUGGCGUAGUGGUCAAGACGCUCGCCUGGUAAAUAGGAGGACUUGGGUUCGAUCCCAGCCAAGGCA